GGAAUCUGGAAAACAUUAUAUUGGCUGGGCUAAGCUAUGAUGUUCAGUAGGUUAGGCAUAUUAAAUACAUUUUCAUUUUACAGUAUUUUUAACUUGUAAAGGGUUUAUUGGGAUGAAACUCCACAGCAGGUUGAAGAGCAUCUGUAUAAAGAUCUACAAAUGAAUAAGGAAAAGAUAAAAACCAUAGUGGAAAAAUGGGGAAAGGAUAUAAGCAGAUUCUUCAUGGUAAAAGGAAAUAAAUAAAAUUCAGAGAGGUGAGGGGGAAAAAGAAAAAAAAGGAAAUAAAAAUGAUCACUCAGUAAGAAAAGAUAAGCAAACUCAUAAGCAAUGAGACAAAUUCCCAUUGAAGAGAGAGGUUUUAGCAAAGUGUUAGUACAACAAGUGCCUAUGCUGGGGGUGGGCACAGGCUUUUUGGAGGGUGACUUAGCCCCUGCCCCCCAGCUCAGCAAUUCUACUUCCCAGCGCCUCCCCGUAGAGAGCCUGGCAGAGACCUGCACUGUGGCGGCCACUGCAGUGAGCUGUAACAGCACCGCUGAAAACAGCCUGGAUGUCCAGCAAUAGGGGAUGAGGUAAACCCUGUGGGUUUCCCAUAUAUGCACAGCCUAGUGGCAAUUACAAGGACUGAGGAGGGAAAUGUUUGGCUUUGGGAUGCUGUGUGUCUAUGGAGACAGACUACUCCCCACUGUGCCCUGCAGCAGAGCAGGCUCUCUGGGAGGCACCCUAGCUGUGGAUUCAGGAAGAUGGGGCUGGCUAGAUGUUUCCUGCCCUGCUUGGAGGUUGGCUUCCCCCAUCUCCCACCUGCCCCCAUCCCAACCCAAACCUAACUGCAGUGGUUGGGGAUAAAGGAGAAAAUAAGUCUGGGUGUGAUAGCUCAUGCCUGAAAAUCUAAAACUCUGGGAAGCACAAGCAGGAGGAUAGCUUGAGCCCAGGAGUUCAAGACCAGUGUGGACAACAUAGUGAGACCUCGUCUCUUGAAAAAAAUCAAAACAGGCUGGGUGCGGUGGCUGACGCCUGUAAUCCCAGCACUUUGGGAGGUCAAGGUGGGAGGAUUGCCUGAGCCCAGAAGUAUGCUGGGAUUACAAGUGUGAGCCACCAUGACCAGCCCUGUAUUAUGGUUUUUUUUUUUUUUUUUUUUUUUUUUGAGACGGAGUCUCACUCUGUCGCCCAGGCUGAAGUGCAGUGGCACGAUCUCAGCUUAUCGCAACCUCCGCCUCCCGAGUUCAAGCAAUUCUCCUGCCUCAGCUUCCCGAGUAGCUGGGAUUACAGGCAUCCGCCACCACACCCAGCUAAUUUUUGUAUUUUUAGUUAGAGACAAGGUUCCACCAUGUUGGCCAGGCUGGUCUCGAACUCCUGACCUCAGGUGAUCCACCUGCCUCAGCCUCCCAAACUGCUGGGUGUAUUAUGUUUUUAAAGUAAAAAUGCAUUCAUGUAUUUCUUAUAUAAUAAGCCACUAAAUAAUUUUAAAAGUUUUUUUUUGGCCAGGUGCGGUGGCUCACACCUGUAAUCCCAGCACUUUGGGAGGCUGAGGUGGGCAGAUCACCUGAGGUUAGGAAUUCAAGACCAGCCCGGCUCAGCCUUCCAAGGAGCUGGGAUUACAGGCACAUGCCACCACGCCUGGCUAAUUUGUAUUUUUAGUAGAGACAGGGUUUCACCAUGUUGGCCAGGCUGGUCUAGAACUCCUGAUUCAGAUGAUCCGCCCACUUUGGCCUCCCAAAGUGCUGGGAUUACAGGCAUGAGCCACCAAGCCCAGCCAAAAUGUUUAAAUUAGUAAAGAAAGAAAAUUCUGGAAUUUUUUGUAGAGGUGGGGUCUCACUAAGUUGCCCAGGCUGGUCUCAAACCCCUAGGCUCAAGCAAUCCACCCAAAGUGCUGGGAUUACAGGCAGGAGACACUACACCCAGCCUAAAAAUUUUUUUUGAAAGCUUAAAACAAGGAAGGAAAAGGGAAAACGGAAGCUAAGGAGACCAGUGAAGAAGCUGUUGGCAAAGGGUGGUAAGACCUGAGCCGGCGUGUCCCCAUCUGUGAAAUGGGUACACCGAUCCCUAUGGUCACUGAAGCUGUUGAGAGGACCCCUGCGCUAAUGAGAGUGAACUCUGCAGUCUGUGAGGUUGGUGCCCCAGAUACUUAGCUGGAGGACAGGACUCUGCCCAAGUCCCUUGUAUGGGCCUACCUAUGGGGCCACCCUCCUCGCUAUGCCUGAUCCUCACAGGUUUCAGCACACUGGCCCCAGGUCACAGGGGCCGACCUGGGACAUAGAGAAAGAUCCAGCCAUGGGGCUACCUCCCAGAGCAGACACCAGCCCUUGACGGGCCCAGCAGCCAUGUUGGGUCUCCAUGCAAUUUAGUCUUAUGAGCCACAGCUCAGCUUAGACUCAGGCUCCAGGAAUAGGUCCCCAAGACACUCUCAUUCCCCAGUGGUUCCCAGCAGUAUUGGGACAACCAAAAUCAGCCUCAAACUGCUCAGGCCUUCCCCAGGGAUAUGACACUUAGCAGCUCCUGGGGCUGCCCAGGCUGAGAACUACCUAUCCCCAGCCCCAGGUAGAGAGCCCCAAGUCUGGCUGUAAGAACAAGGUGAAGCCAAAGACUCAAAAGCAGGUCCUUGCCUCCCGUGACUGCAGGCACAGCCCAGUGAGGGGCAGCAGGGCUGCCAAUGGUCCCCUGAAUUGGCACCCACUUCCUGGGUUUAGCACCACUGUGGCCUCAAGAGGCCCUAAAGGAGGGUUGUCAUGGCAUGCACCAUGGGUUCCUCACAUAGUUCCUCUGGCCCAGGGGAACACGUGUCCUAGAGGCAGCUGCUCCUGGCGUCACUGUUGGUAGGUCCAGAUGAAGGACAGGCCUCUGCCUGGGAGUGUCAGGAUGCAGAGAGGCUGCCUCAUUCCUGCUGCGGCAGCCAGGGUCCCCACACACUCACACUCAUGUCAGCGAGGUCACAGGAGGUCGUCUCUACAUGAGGCUGUGAUAAGGCUGCGUGGGAGCCUGCAUGCAGGCUCAGCAUCAUCCUGCCCGGGCGGGAACCCUGGUCCACCCUUGCUGUAGGACUUCAGUCAAAUGACAGCCUCUCUUGACCCUCAGUUUCCCCAACUGCAAAAGUAGCACCCGACAACAUGCACUGACCCCCCAGGGCUGCUGGGCGUGCUUGGCUGAUGGUUCACUCUCAGAAGUAUCUGUCCCUACCCACCUCGUAGGUGCGGUCAGGUGAGUUCUUCUCUGCCUCUGUUUCCACACUGCACCUGGAAGAAGCUGGAGGACCUGCUCUCCUAAUUGCUCCUCUACCACUGAUGUUGUAAGAAGGGGACACUGACUUGUCACUCUCUGCCAAUGUAGGAGCCAGGCACUGUCUCUGUUGGCUCAGGGCUGGGCUCCCAGGAAGUAAAAGCCUAAAGGCUUGUGGUGACUGCACCCUGGGGCGGCUGCUCCAUUGUUUCCUGUCAGUCCCGCUCAUCUGCUCAACAACCCUUUGGAGGAAACACACAGGAGGGUCCUGCCCUCUAGUGGCUGCCGGCGGCCAGGUCUCUCCUCACAGGGCUCCGCCCGCGACCUCAGAGGAGCCCACCGCCCUCUCUGCCUGCUCUAGUGCCUGCCGCACAGCAACAAGCAGGCAUUUCCUGGGGGUGAAGCCGAGGCUGGCCCCAUGAGCUGACACCCAGCAAUCUUCAUCUCCGAGCACCUUUGAGUCCUGGGGGGCCCUGCUUCCAGAUGUGAGCCCCCAGCCCGUGGGGCUGGGUGGUCCUGGGCUGUGCCACAGGGUUUCAGCCCACCGCGAAGGAGGCCUGACGGUGUCCAGGUCGAGGGCACCUGUGGGCAAUGAUUGACAUAACACUGCAGAGAGAGAGCCUGGUGGGGCACCGGCCUCUGCCCAGGCUGGGUUCCGGGGCCUUCCCCCAUGUGCCCACAUCCCAUGCUUCCCCCGUUACAGCCUCUGCCGUCAGACUGCGCACCAGCAUCUGUGGGUGAGGAGAGAACCUGGGCUGGGGCUUGACACAAAAGGGGCUUUGCCUCUGGACACCCCCACCUGUGCCGCAAGUGGAGGGGGCGGGGAAACGGGGAGGAGGGAAAGUAAGCGGAAGUCCCGCCUCUGUGGAAGCGCCUCUGCACCCUUUGUCCCCCAAGGGAAGCACAAGUGUGUGGCCAGUCAGAUAAAGCAGGCCUUUCCUUGCCUUUAUGGAGCCACGGGCUGAGGCUGGACCAAGGGUCAGUGAGGGGUUCAGGAGGCCCCCUCUGCGCCUCUCUUCCAGGCCCUGAGCCCAUCAUUCCCUUCGUUGUUAGAGUGAAACUGUGAAGAGCCGCAGCUCUGUGCCGGGCGAAGAGGAUUUGGCAGUGAAAAGGAUGAGCUUGCCUUGCCCUGGGGGCAACUGGCACCUGGGGUAAGAGGUGGCCGGUGAGAGCCUGAGCCCUCUGGAGAGCAGAGGCCCCGUUGUGCACAGAGCCAGUAUACCCAAUGCUCGGGGAGCUCCCAACAACCCUACCCAGCCCUGCGGGAGACCACAAAGCUCUAGGGAAGAGCCUGUCCCAGGAAGCACAGGGCUUCGAAGUUCUGACAAGGACAUCGGAGUUCCAGGCCCACCCCACACAUGCACACACUUCCUGCUUCCAAUUAGCACUAAUUGGACGACUGGGAAAACCCACAGACCAUGAAGCAGAAGCAGUUAGGUCUGCGGGGCCCCGGUGAGGCAGGCCCUGCGAGGGCCCAGGUGAGCCAGGCUCUGGGGGAUGGGCCCUGGGGUCUCUGUCUCUCUGAGAGGGGAUCAGGUGAUCAGGGCCACAUCUGCCAGGAUCCCUACUGGCCCCUCUGGAAGACGGAAAUUGUCCCAGGGCCAGGGCAGAAGCUGGGUGUGGGGGAGCCUGACAAACACCCCCUCUCAGCCUGGCAUUUAAGGCUCCCCUAAACCUGGCCCUACCAGCAUCCCCCCUCCCAACCUGGUCUCUUUCAUUUCUUCUGCUCCUAGUUCUCACUGCCUAAGUCACCCACUGAUUAAUUCUUUAUGUCACUCCAUCUAUUCAUGUAUUACGUGUCCAGGAGCCCUCCUGUGGCCAGAUCCUGGGACCACAGAGAUGGAUGUGCCAGGUUGGCAGAGACCACAUUGCAGGGCAACCCCUCUGCUGGCUCCACUUCAUUCUUGGUGGGAAGAAGGAGGCCAGGCUGAGCACUGCAUGCGUAUGAAUAGAAGUAUCAGCUUUGCUUGGCACUCUCUGGGUGAGGCUUUGUGUCCCUUGAUCCUUUAGACCGCACUCAGGGUAUGUGCCAGGCUGUGUCCACAUCCAUGGCCAAGCUCAAGACAGAAGCUCUGCCAGGAACAGCUAGGACUAGGGGGCAAGAAGAGAAGCAGGCACCAAAUCUGAGCUGCUCUGGGGUGGGUCUAGCCCGUGGGGAGAAGCAGGGACUGGCCCUUAGCAAGAGGCUGGCUCUGGAACUUGCAUGCUGGAGUAGUCUGGGCCCCAGCCCCAGAGUGAGGGCCCCGAGUCAACCCUUUAUAUAAUACUGCAUGGCUCAGGCCCUCAGCCCUGAGCAGGGGUAGUGAGAACAAGGCCCCUUGCCCCACAGGUGUAUGUCGGGCCUGACCCUUGGGCCCCGUUCUCCAGAACAUCCCCACCACAGAGACAGAGGCUCAGCUCCACUCCCUUCCCUUCCCCUGCUUAGAGACCAACCUGGUCCUGGGCAAUUUGGUGUUGCCAUGACAACCACAUACUUUCUUCUUCCCCACUUAGCCGAUUGAAUCUGAGUUGCAGAUGAAAUCCUGGUGAGUUGUGUGUUUAGAAAGCAUGCGGCCAUUUGGAGUGCUCCAUGCAUCUUUCAUCUCCCAGACACCUCUGACACCCAUCCCUUGUCUCUUGAUGGCUGAGGGAGAGGAUAUGCGGCCUGUACCCUCUCCCUAUGCCUGGGGUAGUCCUGGCCCAAUGGCACAGCCUCCUUGAGGUACAGCCUCUGGCAUGCAGGAACACAUGGAUGACAUUCUCAUGGGCAGCCUCUGUGGUGAGUGGGCCCUGUGAGCUGGAUGGCAGUCACCAGGAGCCUCCGACAAUGCAUAGUCCUCUCCAUCGUGAGGCAUGUGGUGUCUGGGUAAGAGCUCUUGACUCAGGAGGCUCUCUCUGUCCCCUUCAGGAAUGUGUGCUGCCCUUAAGGACUUGGGCCACCAAGACUGGGAGUUGCUGGCCAGGGGCCCCCAGCAUCAUCUUAACCUUCAUGCAUUCCCUAGGGCUGACCUUAGCCUCCUCUGACCAGCAAUGAAGAGUCACCUGCAGCACAAAGCUGGCUGGGAGCAGGCUCAGAGCUCAGCCCCGAGAUGGGGGAGACGAGACACAGGGAAGUAGUAAAAGUGGCCCCAUCUGUGAUGAGCAGGGUGCUGGUGGCCCUGGGAGGCAACCUCAGCUUGGCAGUUGGGUAGGGCUGGUUUAGCAAGUUUAAGGGGAAGUUAACAUGGGGUGAUCAGAGAAAAGUGGGGCUGGCUCUUUCUCCGAUCUGCCUGGGUGGGGGAUGGAAAUCAGCAUGGGGCAUCUUACCAGGAAUGGUCACCCAGGAUGGACAGGGAGACCUGCCUCUGUCCUCUACACUCAGGGCCUGAGGCCCCUGCCCCACACUGCAGAUGUUAAACCCACAAAGUGGUCCCAUUUGUGUGGCUGCCGCCCCACUGGGCUGCAGCAUCCUGGGCAGGCGGUUGGCCCUUGAGCAUAACUGUACCUCCUUAUCUAGGCCUGCAUUUCCACCCGGAUCUUACUACCUCUCUGAGCCUCAAUGUCUUCCCUCUGGGGAAGGGAGGCAGGGGCAAACGGAUAGGUUGGUAAGAGUGGAAUAAGUAGUGAGGGGUUCCUGGAGCAAUGUCUCCAGGGAAAGCACACCUGCUGGGUGUAUUUGGUCAGAUUUGUAUGAUUUUGUAGGGAAGAAUAUAAAGUACAAAUAUAAAAAAGCAAAUAAAAAAGACAGAUAAUUAUAGCUUGAGGAAAAACAAAGAAUCAUAGCAGAAAGGAAAUAGAAUACUACUUGGUUUAGCAGAAAACAAUGUUUGCGUAGCGUUAAACAUGUAAACACUGAAUAUCAACUUACGCCAAAUCAUAGCAUUUGAAGGAUGGGGAGGAAAUGUAUGGAGAGGUGGCUAUCAGCUCAUUUUCCAUAGUAGGAAAUCAAUGUUCUAAAGGUGAAAGAGGCAGGGUGCAGUGGCUCAUGCUUGUAAUCCCAACAAUUUGGGCCAAGGCAGGAGGAUCGCUUGAGGCCAGGAGUUCAAGACCAGCCUGGGCAACAUAGUGUGACCCCAUCUCUACAAAUCAUUUUAAAAUUAGGCAUGGUAGCACACACUUGUAGUCCCAGCGACUCGGGAGGCUGAAGUGGGAGGAUUGCUUGACCCCAGGAGUUUGAGGCUGCAGUGAGCUGUGAUUGUGCCACUGCUCUCCAGCUCAGCCUGGGCAACAGAGGGAGACCUCAUCUCAAAAAAAAAAAAAAAGAGUGAAAGAGUCAAAAGAACUGAAAGCAAUGGGUCAAGAAGAGGGGAAUCAGUAUUUCCAGCCUUGCAGUAUUGCUCAACCUUAAAACUAUGGGUCAAGAAGAGGGGAAUUAGUAUUUCCAGCCUUGCAGUAUUGUUCAACCUUUAAAACUAUGUACCAUACGUGUAUUGUUUUGAUCAAAAGAGAAAUUAAAUAUAAAAGCAGGUAGGAUUAAUAUAAAACCUCUUAAACACUGAGGCUUGAGAGGUUUAGUAAACUGCCCAAGAUCAUGGUGUAAAGGACACAGCAGAGCUGGAACCUACACUAGGGUCUGUCUGUGCCAGAGCCCACAGCAGGCAUGAGCGUGGAGUGAUCUUGUCAAAACCUUAGAAUCCACCCUUGGACCAGGCAGCUCAAAGACCUUCCCCAAGCACCAAUGCAUGCUACAAAGAUGAGCCUCCAGCAUAAGGGGCUGCACCCCAUGCCUGUGGGCAGGGAAACAAGGCCCUUGAGCAAACCCCUUCCAAAGCCACUAGCCCACAGAGGCCCUGUCGCCCACAGAAGGAGCCAGAGCAGUUGGCAGAGCCCCUUCCUCGGCUGUUCCGCUUCUGUUUACUGGGUGGCUUUUGUUCCCUAGCUUCCCAUCCAGCUAGGCUGGUUAAUCAGAUUCUCUGAGGGGAGGGCUGGGGCAUCAGUGACUUUACUGACACCCAGAGGAAUUGCUUCUUGGGAAGCAAUUACUUGUGACAGGUGCACACUCCCAGCGGCUGAGCUUGUCUGUGGCUGAGGAUGCCGUGGAGCCUGGGGGGACAGGUCCUUGUUGCUGGCUUGUGCUCAGCAGGGACACCAAGGUCCACUGCUCCUCCAUGGUUUUCUUGGCCUCUGCAGGAGGAAAGACUGUCAGCUGAAUGACCAAGUGACAGGUUGCCACGAUGUCACAAUUAAUACAGACCAUUGACUGGGAGGCUGGCAUCAUGCAAAGCCCUUUUCAGAUGUGGAACCCAGGCGAUCUGAACGGUUUGGCCCACUGACCUACAGGUCCUGAGUCUCAGGCUCCAGGCUGGCUGGUCAUCAACUCAAUAUGACCUGGGCAGGCUCCCUUCCAUCCUAGGCUCUCUUAGGGGCGAGGCUGGGGCUGAGAGGCGGUGAAGUUCACUCUCAGGGUUCAUCAGCAGGCAAAAUGGAGAAGGAGA
This 8603-nucleotide long non-coding RNA is filed under the name Homo sapiens (human). RNAcentral describes it as "HSALNT0054759". Lineage: Eukaryota; Metazoa; Chordata; Mammalia; Primates; Hominidae. The record is from RNAcentral.